Molecule: ribosomal RNA, 590 nt
Filed under: Metschnikowia reukaufii
Lineage: Eukaryota; Fungi; Ascomycota; Pichiomycetes; Serinales; Metschnikowiaceae
Description: partial 26S ribosomal RNA
Rfam family: Eukaryotic large subunit ribosomal RNA
Source: RNAcentral
CUUUCGGAAAUUGUAUUUUGAAGGUGGGUUGGGCCAGGAAAGUUACUUUAAGCCCAUUGGAAAAGGGCGCCAUGGAGGGUGAUAGCCCCGUAAAAGUAUCCCUUUUCCUUUUAUCCAUUCCCUCCAAAGAGUCGAGUUGUUUGGGAAUGCAGCUCUAAGUGGGUGGUAAAUUCCAUCUAAAGCUAAAUAUUGGCGAGAGACCGAUAGCGAACAAGUACAGUGAUGGAAAGAUGAAAAGCACUUUGAAAAGAGAGUGAAAAAGUACGUGAAAUUGUUGAAAGGGAAGGGCUUGCAAGCAGACACAACCUCGGUUGGGCCAGCAUCGGAGUGGGGGGAGACAAAAAAGAAAAGGAAUGUAACUCAUUGAGUUUUAUUACCCUUUUUCCAAAUCUUCCACCCCCUCCCAGGCCCUGGAUUCUUCCAGGAUGCUUGGGUAAUGGUUGCAAGUUCCCGUCUUGGAAAAAAACAUUCCCCCCCCGGGGUUUUUUUUUGGGGGGGAAAAAUUUUCUUUUCUUUAAAAAAAAAAAAAACCCGUUUUUUUUUUUAGGGGGGAAAUUUUUUUUUUUUUAAAAAAAAAAAAACAGUUUUUU